RNAcentral lists this ribosomal RNA (253 nucleotides) under uncultured bacterium. RNAcentral's name for it is "partial 16S ribosomal RNA". It matches the Rfam family "Bacterial small subunit ribosomal RNA", at positions 524 to 776 of the family's 1533-position model. The record is from RNAcentral.
UACAGAGGUCUCAAGCGUUGUUCGGAUUCAUUGGGCGUAAAGGGUGCGUAGGCGGCGCGGUAAGCCGGGUGUGAAAUCUCGGAGCUUAACUCCGAAACUGCAUUCGAUACUGCCGUGCUUGAGGACUGGAGAGGAGACUGGAAUUUACGGUGUAGCGGUGAAAUGCGUAGAUAUCGUAAGGAAGACCAGUGGCGAAGGCGGGUCUCUGGACAGUUCCUGACGCUGAGGCACGAAGGUCAGGGGAGCAAACGGG